This 253-nucleotide ribosomal RNA is filed under the name uncultured bacterium. RNAcentral's name for it is "partial 16S ribosomal RNA". It matches the Rfam family "Bacterial small subunit ribosomal RNA", at positions 524 to 776 of the family's 1533-position model. The record is from RNAcentral.
UACGUAGGGCGCAAGCGUUGUCCGGAAUUAUUGGGCGUAAAGAGCUCGUAGGUGGCUUGUCACGUCGGGUGUGAAAGCUUGGGGCUUAACUCCAGGUCUGCAUUCGAUACGGGCUGGCUAGAGGUAGGUAGGGGAGAACGGAAUUCCUGGUGUAGCGGUGAAAUGCGUAGAGAUGGGGAAGAACACCGGUGGCGAAGGCGCCACUCUGGGCCGGUACUGACGCUGAGGAGCGAAAGCGUGGGUAGCAAACAGG